GAAAUGCGAUAAGUAAUGUGAAUUGCAGAAUUCAGUGAAUCAUCGAAUCUUUGAACGCACAUUGCGCCCGCCAGUAUUCUGGCGGGCAUGCCUGUUCGAGCGUCAUUUCAACCAUCAAGCCCCGCGCUUGUGUUGGGGACCUGCGGCUGCCGCAGGCCCUGAAAACCAGUGGCGGGCUCGCUGUCACACCGAGCGUAGUAGAUUUCUCAUCUCGCUCAGGGCGUGCUGCGGGUUCCGACCGUAAAAAAGCCUUAUUUUACCCAAGGUUGACCUCGGAUCAGGUAGGAAGACCCGCUGAACUUAAGC
This 306-nucleotide unclassified non-coding RNA is filed under the name plant metagenome. RNAcentral describes it as "partial contains 5.8S ribosomal RNA, internal transcribed spacer 2, and large subunit ribosomal RNA". The stretch from base 1 to 105 matches the Rfam family "5.8S ribosomal RNA", at positions 50 to 154 of the family's 154-position model. The record is from RNAcentral.